GAUGAACGCUAGCUACAGGCUUAACACAUGCAAGUCGAGGGGCAGCAGGAUCUAGCAAUAGAUUGCUGGCGACCGGCGCACGGGUGAGUAACACGUAUCCAACCUGCCGAUAACUCGGGGAUAGCCUUUCGAAAGAAAGAUUAAUACCCGAUGGUAUAAUCAGACCGCAUGGUCUUGUUAUUAAAGAAUUUCGGUUAUCGAUGGGGAUGCGUUCCAUUAGGCAGUUGGUGAGGUAACGGCUCACCAAACCUUCGAUGGAUAGGGGUUCUGAGAGGAAGGUCCCCCACAUUGGAACUGAGACACGGUCCAAACUCCUACGGGAGGCAGCAGUGAGGAAUAUUGGUCAAUGGGCGCAGGCCUGAACCAGCCAAGUAGCGUGAAGGAUGACUGCCCUAUGGGUUGUAAACUUCUUUUAUAUGGGAAUAAAGUUUUCCACGUGUGGAAUUUUGUAUGUACCAUAUGAAUAAGGAUCGGCUAACUCCGUGCCAGCAGCCGCGGUAAUACGGAGGAUCCGAGCGUUAUCCGGAUUUAUUGGGUUUAAAGGGAGCGUAGGUGGACAGUUAAGUCAGUUGUGAAAGUUUGCGGCUCGACCGUAAAAUUGCAGUUGAUACUGGCUGUCUUGAGUACAGUAGAGGUGGGCGGAAUUCGUGGUGUAGCGGUGAAAUGCUUAGAUAUCACGAAGAACUCCGAUUGCGAAGGCAGCUCACUGGACUGCAACUGACACUGAUGCUCGAAAGUGUGGGUAUCAAACAGG
RNAcentral lists this ribosomal RNA (754 nucleotides) under uncultured bacterium. RNAcentral describes it as "bacterial SSU rRNA". It matches the Rfam family "Bacterial small subunit ribosomal RNA", at positions 28 to 776 of the family's 1533-position model. The record is from RNAcentral.